RNAcentral lists this ribosomal RNA (229 nucleotides) under uncultured bacterium. Its description in RNAcentral is "partial 16S ribosomal RNA". It matches the Rfam family "Bacterial small subunit ribosomal RNA", at positions 568 to 796 of the family's 1533-position model. The record is from RNAcentral.
UGCGUAGGCGGAAUUAUAAGUCAGAAGUGAAAGCUUAGAGCAUAACUGUAAAAUGGCUUUUGAUACUGUAAUUCUUGAAUUAGGCUGAGGUUAGCGGAAUGUGACAUGUAGCGGUGAAAUGCAUAGAUAUGUCAUAGAACACCAAUUGCGAAGGCAGCUAGCUAGACCUAUAUUGACGCUGAGGCACGAAAGCGUGGGGAGCGAACAGGAUUAGAUACCCUGGUAGUCC